AUUAACAUUAAAAGACAUUUUUGUUUAAAGAACGUGCAUGUGAAUUUUAUAUUGAAAAAAAUGUAAAAUAGUGUGAACGUAUUUAUCUAAAGUUUGGCUGAAAAACUUUGUGCAUGUAACAGUGUACUCGUUCUCAAAUCGGUGUAAAAUUACCACAUGACAAACGUAAUAUGAAUACAUUAAAUGACAAUGCUUCUCUUUUAAUAUACUGGAUAUAUAGUUUCUAUAAGUAUAGGCACUUUCUUCUUAUUUUUUGACAAAUGAGCUUUUUUUUUUUUUUUUUUUGAAUGAAUGUAAAAUUUUAUUCAAUCAAACUGUACUACAUCAAGUGCUACUUCUUUAUUUUUUGUACAAAUAAUCAAAAAAUGGAGAUUUGAUUCAAACUACCAGUCUCAUCUAGACCCAAACCAGACCAUCAAACUCUCUUCAAAAUGUUUGUGCCCUGUUCCUUUAACAGACAGGAGCUUAAGCCUGAUUGUCUUGUCGAUAAACUGGACCAAACGAGCUGCAUCAUGUGGCUGUUGACCAUGCCUACGCGAGUUUCUUUCUCUUCAAAUGAGCUUUCACUAUAUAUGUACUUAUUUUAGCUAUAUCGGAUUAAGUAAAUUAGUAAUGGAAUGACUCAUAAGAUUUUACGAAAAUUAGUCCAAUAGCCUUAAAAUAAUCAAGAAUUAACAAGCCAACACCAUAAUUUUGUUAUUAGCUAUCAACCGAAUCUUUACUGUCGAAACCAGGAUUUUCCUAUCAUACUGCUCGAAAUAGAGACUACAAGACUUACUCAAUUUAUAGGUAUUUA
Molecule: long non-coding RNA, 796 nt
Filed under: Brassica rapa (field mustard)
Lineage: Eukaryota; Viridiplantae; Streptophyta; Magnoliopsida; Brassicales; Brassicaceae
Description: long non-coding RNA (BRAP_LNC005897)
Source: RNAcentral